CCUACGGGAGGCAGCAGUGAGGAAUAUUGGUCAAUGGCCGUAAGGCUGAACCAGCCAAGUAGCGUGAGGGAAGACUGCCCUAUGGGUUGUAAACCUCUUUUAUGGGGGGAUAAAGGUGUCCACGUGUGGAUCUUUGCAGGUACCGCAUGAAUAAGGACCGGCUAAAUCCGUGCCAGCAGCCCCGGUAAUACGGAAGGUCCGGGCGUUAUCCGGAUUUAUUGGGUUGAAAGGGAGCGUAGGCAGGUGGUUAAGCAUGCCGGGAAAUUUUGGGGCUCAACCCUGAGAGUGCGGCGCAAACUGGAGACCUUGAGUGCGCGAAAGGCAGGCGGAAUUCGUGGUGUAGCGGUGAAAUGCUUAGAUAUCACGAAGAACCCCGAUUGCGAAGGCAGCCUGCCGCAGCGUUACUGACGCUGAGGCUCGAAAGCGCGGGUAUCGAACAGGAUUAGAUACCCUUGUAGUC
This 460-nucleotide ribosomal RNA is filed under the name uncultured bacterium. Its description in RNAcentral is "partial 16S ribosomal RNA". It matches the Rfam family "Bacterial small subunit ribosomal RNA", at positions 338 to 795 of the family's 1533-position model. The record is from RNAcentral.